CAUGUCUUGUGCAUUUUCUGCAUUCACAACAGCACCUACCAGUCUUCUCUCGUUUCCCACGCAGGAUCAAGAACGGGGCUGGGCACAUGAUGUGUCCGAAGGAAGGAAUGGAUUGAAUUGAGCCCCUGCAGAACGUGGACUCUUUGGAGGCACUGAAUUUGGUCUCUGGGUAUAUACUUGCCUUGGACUGGCCCAUUGAGUGGUGAAAAGCAAUGGACCAAAAGAGAUAUGCCAAGUUUCAACAACACAAAUCAAGCCUUCCAAGAACCAUCUCAGUUAAACUUGAGAAAGCAACAGUGGUUGAUAAUGAUGAGGUAAGAAGGAGCAUUAGAGGAAAGAGAGUACUUUAUAAGUUGGGUUCACAAACUUACUGUUGAAAAGG
Molecule: long non-coding RNA, 382 nt
Filed under: Mustela putorius furo (domestic ferret)
Lineage: Eukaryota; Metazoa; Chordata; Mammalia; Carnivora; Mustelidae
Description: lncRNA (ENSMPUG00000027295.1)
Source: RNAcentral